Molecule: long non-coding RNA, 285 nt
Organism: Notolabrus celidotus (New Zealand spotty)
Lineage: Eukaryota; Metazoa; Chordata; Actinopteri; Labriformes; Labridae
Exons: 3
Source: RefSeq, a predicted model, not a curated record
CAGUAUGAUUCAUGUUAUGAACAGGCUUCUUAACAUAAAGUAGCUCAGCCUACGACUAUAUUAAGUGUUAAAGUUACCAGUACUCUACCCUGCUCACUGAUUCCCACUCAGCAACUUGGUACCUGAGAAACAGACUUUAAGAUGGAUGCUUUAGAAUUAAGACAACUGCACCGCAUACUCCAGGAUUCUGCUCGUGUUGGCCUCAUACUGAGAGUCGUGGAUCAGACGUGCAAGACAGAGAAGAAACUGAACUUCUGCCUGAUAGGAAAUCAUCUAUUCCUGUGG